This 236-nucleotide unclassified non-coding RNA is filed under the name Hevea brasiliensis (rubber tree). Lineage: Eukaryota; Viridiplantae; Streptophyta; Magnoliopsida; Malpighiales; Euphorbiaceae. The record is from RNAcentral.
CCUGUGCUGUCACGAGCAUUCUUCCAUGCUUCAAUCCCCACCAUUCCAGGAUCAUCAGUUAAUCCAUCCACUACACCUUCAGAACCAUCUUUACCAGCUGCAAUGUGUAGAGGCGUCAAACCUGCAGGUCCUUUAACAUCCGGUCUAAACAAGUUGUCCUCAUGGCUUCCACCAAUCAGCAACUUGUUUUCAGGUCCUGAUUUCCCAGGAACAUAUCUUAAAAGAAGCUCCACUAG